CCUACGGGAGGCAGCAGUGAGGAAUAUUGGUCAAUGGGCGCGAGACUGAACCAGCCAAGUAGCGUGAAGGAUGACGGCCCUACGGGUUGUAAACUUCUUUUAUAAAGGAAUAAAGUGAGGCACGUGUGACUUUUUGUAUGUACUUUAUGAAUAAGGAUCGGCUAACUCCGUGCCAGCAGCCGCGGUAAUACGGAGGGUCCGAGCGUUAUCCGGAUUUAUUGGGUUUAAAGGGAGCGUAGAUGGGGUGUUAAGGCAGUUGUGAAAGUUCGCGGCUCAACCGUAAAAUUGCGAUUGGGACUGGCAGUCUUGAGUACAGUUGAGGUAGGCGGAAUUCGUGGUGUAGCGGUGAAAUGCUUAGAUAUCACGAAGAACUCCGAUUGCGAAGGCAGCUUACGACACCGCCACUGACAUUGAUGCUCGAAAGCGUGGGUAUCAAACAGGAUUAGAUACCCUAGUAGUC
Molecule: ribosomal RNA, 460 nt
Filed under: uncultured bacterium
Lineage: Bacteria
Description: partial 16S ribosomal RNA
Rfam family: Bacterial small subunit ribosomal RNA
Source: RNAcentral